RNAcentral lists this long non-coding RNA (1011 nucleotides) under Oncorhynchus kisutch (coho salmon). RNAcentral describes it as "lncRNA (ENSOKIG00005002096.1)". The record is from RNAcentral. Lineage: Eukaryota; Metazoa; Chordata; Actinopteri; Salmoniformes; Salmonidae.
UUAGGUUUAAUCAGGAUCUGGGAAAAUGACCCAUAAAGAUACCAUUCCACUGUACCACAUUCUGACUCCUCCAGAGUUCCAGGAGCUGGUCCUGGGUCUGCUGGUGGACAUCAGUCAGUGAGUGAAGGUUCUGGUAGGAUGGGUGGGAGUUUUGUAACACUGGGAUUCUGCUGAGGGUUCUGGACCUGGAACAGACUUCCAGUUUGAUGUGUGUAGAAUCCUGGAAGACGUGGCCAACCUGGAGAGAGUUCUAGAGACUCCGGAGGUAGCUGCCCAGAUGGUAUGUGGAUCUGCAGAGAAGCAUUGAUUGACAAACUGGCAUCAAUGAAUUUACCUCCACUUAAAGUUGUUGGUGUAACUCCAAUACAUAUCGAAUAAUACAUUUUUUGGUAGUUAAAAAAAACAUGUUUUUCAGAAACAGUUCCUGAGUAGGAUCGGUGGGAACACGUUGAGGGACAAUGUCACCGGAGUGAUGGAGAGGCUGAUGACCAAUGAACUGAUGAGCAACUUCAACAUGAAAGGAAGGAAAUGGACCAAGAAGAGUUUUCUCACACACUCCCUGAGCAAAAUCUUUAUUGACAUCAUCUUGAUUACCCACCCAUAUGCCACUGAGUCUGCUGUCCUGCACCUGAUGGUCAACGUGCUGAAUACGCCCCAGACAGACAUGGAGGGGGAGGCCUACAAAACAGUUGUAGGUAUUAUUUAUUUUCUGCGGUAGUAGAAUAUAAAUUAAUUGAUAAUGCCAGAGAAGCCGUUUUUUUUGGAGGAUAUAUGGGCACGGGUUCAUCUCGGGCCGGCAAACAGUGCCAAUAUAUCCUCAACACCGAGGGCAUUAUCACUUUUAUUCAACGGGUUACCAACGCAUCAAAUAAUGAUUUACAUAUUUUGAUUAAAAAAUGUUAUUUUGAUUAAUUUAUUCAUACUAUUUCAUCCUUCCACAAGAUAAAGAUAUAGUCCCAACAUAAAUAUAGGGUCGUUACCCAUGUAGGCUGGUCGUUCGUUCUAAAUGUU